UUUGCGUCGAAGGUAUACCGGUAAGGAGUGCUGGAGCGAAUAGAAGUGAGCAUGCAGGCAUGAGUAGCGAUAAUUAAUGUGAGAAUCAUUAACGCCGUAAACCCAAGGUUUCCUACGCGAUGCUCGUCAUCGUAGGGUUAGUCGGGUCCUAAGUCGAGUCCGAAAGGGGUAGACGAUGGCAAAUUGGUUAAUAUUCCAAUACCAACAUUAGUGUGCGAUGGAAGGACGCUUAGGGCUAAGGGGGCUAGCGGAUGGAAGUGCUAGUCUAAGGUCGUAGGAGGUUAUACAGGCAAAUCCGUAUAACAAUACUCCGAGAACUGAAAGGCUUUUUGAAGUCUUCGGAUGGAUAGAAGAACCCCUGAUGCCGUCGAGCCAAGAAAAGUUUCUAAGUUUAGCUAAUGUUGCCCGUACCGUAAACCGACACAGGUGGGUGGGAUGAGUAUUCUAAGGCGCGUGGAAGAACUCUCUUUAAGGAACUCUGCAAAAUAGCACCGUAUCUUCGGUAUAAGGUGUGGUUCGCUUUGUAUUAGGAUUUACUCCGAAAGCAAGGAAACUUACAACAAAGAGUCCCUCCCGACUGUUUACCAAAAACACAGCACUCUGCUAACUCGUAAGAGGAUGUAUAGGGUGUGACGCCUGCCCGGUGCUCGAAGGUUAAUUGAUGGGGUUAGCAUUAGCGAAGCUCUUGAUCGAAGCCCGAGUAAACGGCGGCCGUAACUAUAACGGUCCUAAGGUAGCGAAAUUCCUUGUCGGUUAAAUACCGACCUGCAUGAAUGGCGUAACGAGAUGGGAGCUGUCUCAAAGAGGGAUCCAGUGAAAUUGUAGUGGAGGUGAAAAUUCCUCCUACCCGCGGCAAGACGGAGAGACCCCGUGGACCUUUACUACAGCUUGACACUGCUAUUUGGAUAAGAAUGUGCAGGAUAGGUGGGAGGCUUUGAGUAUAUGACGCCAGUUGUAUAUGAGCCAUUGUUGAGAUACCACUCUUUCUUAUUUGGGUAGCUAACCAGCUUGAGUUAUCCUCAAGUGGGACAAUGUCUGGUGGGUAGUUUGACUGGGGCGGUCGCCUCCCAAAUAAUAACGGAGGCUUACAAAGGUUGGCUCAGAACGGUUGGAAAUCGUUCGUAGAGUAUAAAGGUAUAAGCCAGCUUAACUGCAAGACAUACAAGUCAAGCAGAGACGAAAGUCGGUCUUAGUGAUCCGGUGGUUCUGUGUGGAAGGGCCAUCGCUCAAAGGAUAAAAGGUACCCCGGGGAUAACAGGCUGAUCUCCCCCAAGAGCUCACAUCGACGGGGAGGUUUGGCACCUCGAUGUCGGCUCAUCGCAUCCUGGGGCUGGAGCAGGUCCCAAGGGUAUGGCUGUUCGCCAUUUAAAGCGGUACGCGAGCUGGGUUCAGAACGUCGUGAGACAGUUCGGUCCCUAUCUGCCGUGGGCGUAAGAAGAUUGAAGAGAUUUGACCCUAGUACGAGAGGACCGGGUUGAACAAACCACUGGUGUAGCUGUUGUUCUGCCAAGAGCAUCGCAGCGUAGCUAAGUUUGGAAAGGAUAAACGCUGAAAGCAUCUAAGCGUGAAGCCAACUCUAAGAUGAAUCUUCUCUAAGCUCUCUAGAAGACUACUAGUUUGAUAGGCUGGGUGUGUAAUGGAUGAAAGUCCUUUAGCUGACCAGUACUAAUAGAGCGUUUGGCUUAUCUUUAAUAAAGCAU
This 1700-nucleotide ribosomal RNA is filed under the name Campylobacter coli. Its description in RNAcentral is "bacterial LSU rRNA". It matches the Rfam family "Bacterial large subunit ribosomal RNA", at positions 1244 to 2925 of the family's 2925-position model. The record is from RNAcentral. Lineage: Bacteria; Pseudomonadati; Campylobacterota; Epsilonproteobacteria; Campylobacterales; Campylobacteraceae.